AGAGUUUGAUCAUGGCUCAGAACGAACGCUGGCGGCGUGGAUAAGACAUGCAAGUCGAGCGCUGAUUACGAGGUAGCAAUAUUUCGUGGUCGGAGCGGCGCAAGGGUGCGUAACACGUGGGUAAUCUGCCAUGAAGUUUGGGAUAACUUGCUGAAAGGCGAGCUAAUACCGGAUGUGACAAUCGGGAGACAUCUCCUGAUUUUCAAAGCUGGGGACCGUAAGGCCUGGCGCUUCAUGAUGAACCCGCGGCCUAUCAGCUAGUUGGUGAGGUAACGGCCCACCAAGGCUAAGACGGGUAGCUGGUCCGAGAGGACGACCAGCCACACUGGAACUGAGACACGGUCCAGACACCUACGGGUGGCAGCAGUCGAGAAUUUUUCACAAUGGGCGAAAGCCUGAUGGAGCGACGCCGCGUGGGGGAUGAAUGGCUUCGGCCCGUAAACCCCUGUCAUUUGCGAUCAAACCGCAUUAUUUAAAAGAUGAUGCGCUGAUAGUAGCGAAAGAGGAAGGGACGGCUAACUCUGUGCCAGCAGCCGCGGUAAUACAGAGGUCCCAAGCGUUGUUCGGAUUCACUGGGCGUAAAGGGUGCGUAGGUGGUCGGGUAAGUCGGAUGUGAAAGCUCGGAGCUCAACUCCGAAAUGGCAUUGGAAACUGCCUGGCUAGAGGGUUGGAGGGGGGACUGGAAUUCUCGGUGUAGCAGUGAAAUGCGUAGAUAUCGAGAGGAACACCAGUGGCGAAGGCGAGUCCCUGGACAACUCCUGACACUGAGGCACGAAAGCUAGGGGAGCAAACAGGAUUAGAUACCCCCGUAGUCC
Molecule: ribosomal RNA, 815 nt
Filed under: uncultured bacterium
Lineage: Bacteria
Description: bacterial SSU rRNA
Rfam family: Bacterial small subunit ribosomal RNA
Source: RNAcentral